GGGGGUGUAGCUCAGUGGUAUAGCAUGCGCUUAGCAUGCAGGAGGUCUCUGGGUUCAGUCCCCAGUACCUCCA
RNAcentral lists this transfer RNA (73 nucleotides) under Camelus bactrianus (Bactrian camel). It matches the Rfam family "tRNA". Rfam says of the family: Transfer RNA (tRNA) molecules are approximately 80 nucleotides in length. Their secondary structure includes four short double-helical elements and three loops (D, anti-codon, and T loops). The record is from Rfam by way of RNAcentral. Lineage: Eukaryota; Metazoa; Chordata; Mammalia; Artiodactyla; Camelidae. RNAcentral also lists the same sequence under 1 other name.